GACGAACGCUGGCGGCGUGCUUAACACAUGCAAGUCGAACGAUGAAGAAGAGAAACGCGAACUUCGGUUCAAAUUUCACUUCGGAUUAGUGGCAGACGGGUGAGUAACGCGUGAGCAACCUACCUCUUACAAAGGGAUAGCCUCGGGAAACCGUGAUUAAUACCAUAUGACACAUUCAUAAGGCAUCUUAAGAAUGUUAAAGCUACGGCGGUAAGAGAUGGGCUCGCGUCCCAUUAGCUAGUUGGUGAGGUAACGGCCCACCAAGGCGACGAUGGGUAACCGGCCUGAGAGGGUGAACGGUCACAUUGGAACUGAGACACGGUCCAAACUCCUACGGAAGGCAGCAGUGGGGAAUAUUGCACAAUGGAGGGAACUCUGAUGCAGCGACGCCGCGUGAGCGAUGAAGGAAUUCGUUUCGUAAAGCUCUGUUCUAUGGGAAGAAAAGGACUGUACCAUAGGAGAAAGCCCCGGCUAAAUACGUG
This 482-nucleotide ribosomal RNA is filed under the name uncultured bacterium. Its description in RNAcentral is "partial 16S ribosomal RNA". It matches the Rfam family "Bacterial small subunit ribosomal RNA", at positions 28 to 507 of the family's 1533-position model. The record is from RNAcentral.